RNAcentral lists this ribosomal RNA (776 nucleotides) under Microbacterium sp. M060106-10. Its description in RNAcentral is "bacterial SSU rRNA". It matches the Rfam family "Bacterial small subunit ribosomal RNA", at positions 62 to 847 of the family's 1533-position model. Lineage: Bacteria; Bacillati; Actinomycetota; Actinomycetes; Micrococcales; Microbacteriaceae. The record is from RNAcentral.
CUCUAUUGAGAAACUGAGCUUGCUCUGUGGGAUCAGUGGCGAACGGGUGAGUAACACGUGAGCAACCUGCCCCUGACUCUGGGAUAAGCGCUGGAAACGGCGUCUAAUACUGGAUAUGUGACGUGACCGCAUGGUCUGCGUUUGGAAAGAUUUUUCGGUUGGGGAUGGGCUCGCGGCCUAUCAGCUUGUUGGUGAGGUAAUGGCUCACCAAGGCGUCGACGGGUAGCCGGCCUGAGAGGGUGACCGGCCACACUGGGACUGAGACACGGCCCAGACUCCUACGGGAGGCAGCAGUGGGGAAUAUUGCACAAUGGGCGGAAGCCUGAUGCAGCAACGCCGCGUGAGGGAUGACGGCCUUCGGGUUGUAAACCUCUUUUAGCAGGGAAGAAGCGAAAGUGACGGUACCUGCAGAAAAAGCGCCGGCUAACUACGUGCCAGCAGCCGCGGUAAUACGUAGGGCGCAAGCGUUAUCCGGAAUUAUUGGGCGUAAAGAGCUCGUAGGCGGUUUGUCGCGUCUGCUGUGAAAUCCCGAGGCUCAACCUCGGGCCUGCAGUGGGUACGGGCAGACUAGAGUGCGGUAGGGGAGAUUGGAAUUCCUGGUGUAGCGGUGGAAUGCGCAGAUAUCAGGAGGAACACCGAUGGCGAAGGCAGAUCUCUGGGCCGUAACUGACGCUGAGGAGCGAAAGGGUGGGGAGCAAACAGGCUUAGAUACCCUGGUAGUCCACCCCGUAAACGUUGGGAACUAGUUGUGGGGUCCAUUCCACGGAUUCCGUGAC